This 252-nucleotide ribosomal RNA is filed under the name uncultured bacterium. RNAcentral's name for it is "partial 16S ribosomal RNA". It matches the Rfam family "Bacterial small subunit ribosomal RNA", at positions 524 to 776 of the family's 1533-position model. The record is from RNAcentral.
UACGUAGGGGGCAAGCGUUGUCCGGAUUUAUUGGGCGUAAAGAGCGUGUAGGCGGCUUGGUAGGUCUUGCGUCAAAACCUGAGGCUCAACCUCAGUUCGCGUGGGAAACCAUCUAGCUAGAGUCCGGAAGAGGAGAACGGAAUUCCCAGUGUAGCGGUGAAAUGCGCAGAUAUUGGGAAGAACACCAGUGGCGAAGGCGGUUCUCUGGGACGGUACUGACGCUGAGGAGCGAAAGCCAGGGGAGCAAACGGG